GGGAAUAUUGGACAAUGGGCGAAAGCCUGAUCCAGCAAUGCCGCGUGAGUGAUGAAGGCCUUAGGGUUGUAAAGCUCUUUUACCCGGGAUGAUAAUGACAGUACCGGGAGAAUAAGCUCCGGCUAACUCCGUGCCAGCAGCCGCGGUAAUACGGAGGGAGCUAGCGUUAUCCGGAAUUACUGGGCGUAAAGGGUGCGUAGGUGGUUUCUUAAGUCAGAGGUGAAAGCCUGGAGCUCAACUCCAGAAUUGCCUUUAAGACUGCAUCGCUUGAAUCCAGGAGAGGUGAGUGGAAUUCCGAGUGUAGAGGUGAAAUUCGUAGAUAUUCGGAAGAACACCAGUGGCGAAGGCGGCUCACUGGACUGGUAUUGACGCUGAGGUUCGAAAGCGUGGGUAGCA
RNAcentral lists this ribosomal RNA (396 nucleotides) under uncultured bacterium. RNAcentral describes it as "bacterial SSU rRNA". It matches the Rfam family "Bacterial small subunit ribosomal RNA", at positions 357 to 770 of the family's 1533-position model. The record is from RNAcentral.